Molecule: long non-coding RNA, 560 nt
Organism: Bufo bufo (common toad)
Lineage: Eukaryota; Metazoa; Chordata; Amphibia; Anura; Bufonidae
Exons: 2
Source: RefSeq, a predicted model, not a curated record
UAGGUUUAUAUGAUAGAGAGGAGAAGCUGAGCUCUGUGAUAUACAGGUUUAUACGAUGGAGGGGAGAAGCUAAGCUCUGUGAUAUAAAGGUUUCUAUAAUAGAGGGGAGAAGCAGAGCUCUGUGAUAUACAGGUUUAUAUGAUAGAAGGGGAGAAGAUGAGCUCUGUGAUAUAUAGGUUUCUAUAAUAGAGGGGAGAAGAUGAGCUCUGAGAUAUAUAGGUUUCUAUAAUAGAGGGGAGAAGCUGAGCUCUGAGAUAUAUAGGUUUCUAUAAUAGAGGGGAGAAGAUGAGCUCUGAGAUAUAUAGGUUUCUAUAAUAGAGGGGAGAAGAUGAGCUCUGUGAUAUAUAGGUUUAUAUAAUAGAGGGGAGAAGAUGAGCUCUGAGAUAUAUAGGUUUCUAUAAUAGAGGGGAGAAGCUGAGCUCUGAGAUAUAUAGGUUUAUAUAAUAGAGGGGAGAAGAUGAGCUCUGAGAUAUAUAGGUUUCUAUAAUAGAGGGGAGAAGCUGAGCUCUGAGAUAUAUAGGUUUCUAUAAUAGAGGGGAGAAGAUGAGCUCUGAGAUAUA